This 129-nucleotide transfer RNA is filed under the name Hanseniaspora uvarum. It matches the Rfam family "tRNA". From Rfam's summary of the family: Transfer RNA (tRNA) molecules are approximately 80 nucleotides in length. Their secondary structure includes four short double-helical elements and three loops (D, anti-codon, and T loops). The record is from Rfam by way of RNAcentral. Lineage: Eukaryota; Fungi; Ascomycota; Saccharomycetes; Saccharomycodales; Saccharomycodaceae.
GACAGUCUGGCCGAGCGGUUAAGGCGUUACACUCGAAUUUUUUGUCUUCUAUGAAUGUAGAGGGGCACUUUUUACAAGCGAAGCUAUGUAAUGGGUUUACCCGCACAGGUUCGAAUCCUGUGGCUGUCG